Molecule: transfer RNA, 73 nt
Filed under: Helicosporidium sp. ex Simulium jonesi
Lineage: Eukaryota; Viridiplantae; Chlorophyta; Trebouxiophyceae; Chlorellales; Chlorellaceae
Description: tRNA-Phe
Rfam family: tRNA
About the family: Transfer RNA (tRNA) molecules are approximately 80 nucleotides in length.
Source: RNAcentral
GUUAAGAUAGCUCAGUAGGUAGAGCAAAAGACUGAAAAUCUUUGUGUCACCAGUUCAAAUCUGGUUCUUAGCA